AUUGAACGCUGGCGGAAUGCUUUACACAUGCAAGUCGAGCGGCAGCGCGGGGGCAACCCUGGCGGCGAGCGGCGAACGGGUGAGUAAUGCAUCGGAACGUACCCUGGAGUGGGGGAUAACGCCGCGAAAGCGGCGCUAAUACCGCAUAUGCUCUGAGGAGGAAAGUGGGGGACCGCAAGGCCUCACGCUCUGGGAGCGGCCGAUGUCCGAUUAGCUAGUUGGUGGGGUAAAGGCUUACCAAGGCGACGAUCGGUAGCUGGUCUGAGAGGAUGAUCAGCCACACUGGGACUGAGACACGGCCCAGACUCCUACGGGAGGCAGCAGUGGGGAAUCUUGCGCAAUGGGCGGAAGCCUGACGCAGCAACGCCGCGUGCGGGAUGAAGGCCUGGUGUAACGCUUCUAGCAGGGACGAAGUUAGACGGUACCUGCAGAAGAAGCCCGGCCGAACUACGUGCCAGCAGCCGCGGUAA
Molecule: ribosomal RNA, 470 nt
Filed under: uncultured bacterium
Lineage: Bacteria
Description: bacterial SSU rRNA
Rfam family: Bacterial small subunit ribosomal RNA
Source: RNAcentral